This is a long non-coding RNA of Oreochromis aureus, 1551 nucleotides long. RefSeq lists it as uncharacterized. Lineage: Eukaryota; Metazoa; Chordata; Actinopteri; Cichliformes; Cichlidae. The transcript is spliced from 4 exons. The record is from RefSeq and is a predicted model, not a curated record.
UUAGUUGUCCAGGCGGCGCUUCUUUUUACCAUUCAAAGAAUAAGGCUGCAACCCCCCAACACACACACAAGGCACAACCACCAGAGGGCGCUGCAUGAACCAUUGAACUAGUCACUAAUAUAACAGAGGAGAGAGCAGCUGGGAAGGAAAGUGAAUAGCCCAUCCUGUGUUUGUUGUGAAUGGUGUGCGUCACAUAAAAGACCAACACCACAUGACCCCUCUACGUCCUCCUACACUGUGCCAUAUCUCCCUGUACCAUCAAUCUGAGUGCAAGUAAACUUUACAUAAAUCUUUGAUCUGUAGCAGUGUGACUCUGCAGUGCUGUACUGUAUGUUUGUGAGUUUCCUCCCCAACAAACACAAUAAUGAGGAUGAAACAUUUGCACCAUCAAAUUCAAACUUUACUCAACUCGUUCUUCUUGCUUCCUCUACUUCCGUACUAUUGAUUCAUUAAUGUUGAAUUCUCUCACAGCUGCUUUCUUCCAUGUUCUGGGCUUGAUCUUGGGUUUUAUUUUAUGAUACUGGAUUUAUUUUCUACGGAGGUUUGAACUUUGAGGGUGUUUAAACAAGAGAGAAAAGUGUAAAAAUUCAUGUCUGUCUCAGAAAAGUGUAUAAACUGUGUAUUCAGCGGUUAUACAGCCCUAAAACAUCUAUGAUAAUUGUAAGAAAAAAAGCUGACUACUUUGCAGAUUUCACCUAUUUUUAUUUUUAGAACAUAACUCCCACGAUAAACAAGGGUCCACUGUAUCAGUAUGUUAAACAUUUACCCAAUAAACUUAAAUUGCAUGUAACUUAGUUAAAAUAUAUAGUUCAGUUAAGUAUUAUUCACACGUAUAUCAUACAAUUUUGCCACUUCCUGUAUGAGCACCUGUUGAUGCAUACUGCUUGUUAUAAAAUUGAAUAAUUUUCAUUAAUGUGCCAUGUUUGACCGCGUUGUGACCUAUUGAGAAAAGGCAAAGGGUUUUUCAAAGGUUGCCCCUCUGCAGAUGGCCCUUAGUGAGAGUCCUGACCAGCCCCUGGCAGGACCUUGGCCUGUACCUGACCCUGCACCUGCUGUUUCUCGCUGGAGGACAAGUGGAAAGUUACCCAGCAGCAGGGGCAGUUAACGGCCACCAUAGAGAGAGGAUCCACCAGGGCUGUUGUCCUUCUCUCCGUGUCUGUGUGGCUUUGCUGUUUGUGCUUAAUGCUCUACCUUGCUUGCUUUUUUUAGUGAACUGAUGUUAAUCACAUCUAAAUAAGCUGGAUCUCCACAUCACCGGUUGGAUAAGGUUAUCAUGCUGGCUUCAAAAUUUGCGAGUCCACACAGUUUAUAUUAAUCAGUUUAUUUUGUACCUUGUGGUUCAAAUGUGUCAAAUAUCAACACUGAAUGUACCUGCAGAUGUUUUUGAUCACAUCGUACUCACUGAAAGUCCUUACAAACAUUAGAGCUAAUCACUUAGAACUGCCAGGAGAUGUCAUUUUGAGCCAUCACUCCUUUGUCUCCCUACACUCAAUACUCCAAGCCCAUCAUGUCUGAUGUUUCCCUGAUGUCCCCUUAAUGUCACGAUGUAGC